RNAcentral lists this ribosomal RNA (498 nucleotides) under uncultured bacterium. RNAcentral's name for it is "partial 16S ribosomal RNA". It matches the Rfam family "Bacterial small subunit ribosomal RNA", at positions 27 to 507 of the family's 1533-position model. The record is from RNAcentral.
GGAUGAACGCUGGCGGCGUGCCUAAUCCAUGCAAGUCGAGCGAACAGAUGAGGAGCUUGCUCCUCUGACGUUAGCGGCGGACGGGUGAGUAACACGUGGAUAACCUACCUAUAAGACUGGGAUAACUUCGGGAAACCGGAGCUAAUACCGGAUAAUAUAUUGAACCGCAUGGUUCAAUAGUGAAAGACGGUUUUGCUGUCACUUAUAGAUGGAUCCGCGCCGCAUUAGCUAGUUGGUAAGGUAACGGCUUACCAAGGCAACGAUGCGUAGCCGACCUGAGAGGAUGAUCGGCCACACUGGAACUGAGACACGGUCCAGACUCCUACGGGAGGCAGCAGUGGGGAAUCUUCCACAAUGGGCGAAAGCCUGACGGAGCAACGCCGCGUGAGUGAUGAAGGUCUUCGGAUCGUAAAACUCUGUUAUUAGGGAAGAACAAAUGUGUAAGUAACUAUGCACGUCUUGACGGUACCUAAUCAGAAAGCCACGGCUAACUACGUG